GUGUGGAAGAAGAGCUUUAGGAAAGGCUUUCUAAGGGUGAGAAAGAGAAGUGUUGGGCUACAAAGGUUUUGAGUAGAUGCCCGAGAGCGCUAGACUUGAAGCGUUAGAUAGCUUAGUCACCUUGUCUAGACGUUGUGUUUUGAUGGCCUGUGAGCCUUUUGAGCGGCCUAUGUGCCUUGAGUCUUUUUGACUUGUCUUUACUGUUUAGUUUUCUCGCCUAUGCAUCUUAAUACUGUAAGAUGUGGCAUAAUACUCCCGAUUAGAUUUGUUUCCGCUUUAUGUUUAAUGGAUGUUUAGAUUGCUUAUC
Long non-coding RNA from Ipomoea nil (Japanese morning glory), 307 nucleotides. RefSeq lists it as uncharacterized. The record is from RefSeq and is a predicted model, not a curated record. NCBI's taxonomy places the organism in Eukaryota, Viridiplantae, Streptophyta, Magnoliopsida, Solanales, Convolvulaceae. The transcript is spliced from 2 exons.